AAGUCGUAACAAGGUUUCCGUAGGUGAACCUGCGGAAGGAUCAUUAUUGAAAUAGCACGACGGGAAGCUGUUGCUGGCCCUAGUGGCCGUGCACGCUUUCUGUCCUUCAUUUCUCCAUCUAUUUGUGCACCUCUUGCGUAGACCCCUCUGUUAGGACUGCUUUGCAAAAUUGAUUGUGGGCUUUCCUUGUUUCUACGUCGUCAUAUACACCAGUGUAACGAUUUGGAAUGAAUGGAAUUUUGAUGCAAUAUAUAAAGCACAACUUUCAGCAACGGAUCUCUUGGCUCUCGCAUCGAUGAAGAACGCAGCGAAAUGCGAUAAGUAAUGUGAAUUGCAGAAUUCAGUGAAUCAUCGAAUCUUUGAACGCAUCUUGCGCUCCUUGGUAUUCCUAGGAGCAUGCCUGUUUGAGUGUCAUAAAUAUCUCAACCGCACCCUAUGGUGGUGUGGCUUGGAUUUGGGGGUGGCAGGCUUAGUCUGCUCCCCUGAAAUACAUUGGCGGUGCCCGACGUGAUGUGAUAAAUUAUCCGCAUCUGUUUAUGAGCUGCCGUGUCGUGUUGGAGUUGAUAAACUUGACCUCAAAUCAGGUAGGACCACCCGCUGAACUUAAGCAUAUCAAUAAGCGGAGGAAAAGAAACUAACCAGGAUUCCCUUAGUAACUGCGAGUGAAGUGGGAAGAGCUCAAAUUUGUAAUCUGGUGGCCCUUGGCCAUCCGAGUUGUAAUCUAGAGAA
RNAcentral lists this unclassified non-coding RNA (729 nucleotides) under uncultured Inocybe. Its description in RNAcentral is "sequence contains ITS1, 5.8S rRNA gene and ITS2". The stretch from base 261 to 414 matches the Rfam family "5.8S ribosomal RNA". The record is from RNAcentral. Lineage: Eukaryota; Fungi; Basidiomycota; Agaricomycetes; Agaricales; Cortinariaceae.